CGGAGGAGGGUAACGCGUGGUCAACCUACCGUUGAGUGGGGAUAACUAGCCGAAAGGUUAGCUAAUACCGCAUACGUCUCCGAGGGGCAUCCCUUGGCGAUAAAAGGAGCAAUCCGCUCGAUGACGGGACCGCGUCCCAUUAGCUAGAUGGUGGGGUAACGGCCUACCAUGGCACCGAUGGGUAGCUGGUUUGAGAGAGCGACCAGCCACACUGGGACUGAGAAACGGCCCAG
This 233-nucleotide ribosomal RNA is filed under the name uncultured bacterium. RNAcentral describes it as "partial 16S ribosomal RNA". It matches the Rfam family "Bacterial small subunit ribosomal RNA", at positions 105 to 334 of the family's 1533-position model. The record is from RNAcentral.